UUAGGAAUAUAAAUGAACAAAACUAGUCCAUUUACAAACCCUACCGACCUGCAUCAAUGAGUGAUAAGCUUUAUUCAUUCAAAUGUUAUCGUAUUUUCGAGAGACGGAUUUAUAUGGCUAGAUCGACAUAAAUGCAAUGUAAUGAGGGUCAAGAACAUACAAAUAUAGUUUAUGGGAUCAUUCGUCCAAUAUUUUUAGCUUUUACAAACGGAAUGAUAAAGCUUGUAUACCCCUAUCCUAUGGUGGAAGGUAUAAAAAUUUAUUUUAUUCCAUGGAUAUACAAUUUGUCAUACACUUUAAUAUUUUAAAUUUUCUGUUUUUACCCCAAGAUUUCGAAUAGCUCAUCAUUGGUGAUAUGCUCAUACGGAAAAGUCAUUAAUUAUUAACAUUAUUUAAAAUUUCACACAACACUUAAGUAAGGAAACCAUUUGCUUUUUUGUUCAAACACAUAGCACCCCGCUUUGCCAUCUAGGAAGGAAAUGGCAACACAACAUCUUAACGGUGGUUUGUUUGUCAAGACGUGUUGCCAAUUGCAUUGCACAAUAUGAUGUUCUUCCAGGAUUGCCGUUUUGUAUAUUCUAUCAUUUUGCAAUAAUAACGAACAUAAAAUGGGACUUGAAAUUAUACUGCGUAGUGACAAUUUAAUGCAAAAACAUUACUCACAUAGGAAUAUAUGAGAUUGGUUAGUGUGUGCGUGUGUUCAUAUGUUCAUGUGCCACAUACUAAAAACACUGAGGUGUAUAACGUGUCAAAUACUGACAACAAAGAGAAGGCAAAUACAAAGCGCAUAGGAAAAAGAAUUUAACAGAGAUAAUAAGUAAACAAAAUAAGCAUUAAUAUAUAAAAAAAAGAAAAUAAAUAAAACAUUUAAAUACCUAUAAGCAAGA
Molecule: long non-coding RNA, 887 nt
Organism: Stomoxys calcitrans (stable fly)
Lineage: Eukaryota; Metazoa; Arthropoda; Insecta; Diptera; Muscidae
Exons: 3
Source: RefSeq, a predicted model, not a curated record